Molecule: ribosomal RNA, 253 nt
Filed under: uncultured Stenotrophomonas sp.
Lineage: Bacteria; Pseudomonadati; Pseudomonadota; Gammaproteobacteria; Lysobacterales; Lysobacteraceae
Description: partial 16S ribosomal RNA
Rfam family: Bacterial small subunit ribosomal RNA
Source: RNAcentral
UACAGAGGGUGCAAGCGUUACUCGGAAUUACUGGGCGUAAAGCGUGCGUAGGUGGUUGGUUAAGUCUGUCGUGAAAGCCCUGGGCUCAACCUGGGAACUGCGAUGGAAACUGGCUGACUAGAGUGUGGUAGAGGGUAGCGGAAUUCCUGGUGUAGCAGUGAAAUGCGUAGAUAUCAGGAGGAACAUCCAUGGCGAAGGCAGCUACCUGGGCCAACACUGACACUGAGGCACGAAAGCGUGGGGAGCAAACAGG